RNAcentral lists this ribosomal RNA (2932 nucleotides) under Bacillus velezensis AS43.3. RNAcentral describes it as "bacterial LSU rRNA". It matches the Rfam family "Bacterial large subunit ribosomal RNA". The record is from RNAcentral. Lineage: Bacteria; Bacillati; Bacillota; Bacilli; Caryophanales; Bacillaceae.
CGGUUAAGUUAGAAAGGGCGCACGGUGGAUGCCUUGGCACUAGGAGCCGAUGAAGGACGGGACGAACACCGAUAUGCUUCGGGGAGCUGUAAGCAAGCUUUGAUCCGGAGAUUUCCGAAUGGGGAAACCCACCACUCGUAAUGGAGUGGUAUCCAUAUCUGAAUACAUAGGAUAUGAGAAGGCAGACCCGGGGAACUGAAACAUCUAAGUACCCGGAGGAAGAGAAAGCAAAUGCGAUUCCCUGAGUAGCGGCGAGCGAAACGGGACCAGCCCAAACCAAGAGGCUUGCCUCUUGGGGUUGUAGGACACUCUGUACGGAGUUACAAAGGAACGAGGUAGAUGAAGAGGUCUGGAAAGGCCCGCCAUAGGAGGUAACAGCCCUGUAGUCAAAACUUCGUUCUCUCCUGAGUGGAUCCUGAGUACGGCGGAACACGUGAAAUUCCGUCGGAAUCCGGGAGGACCAUCUCCCAAGGCUAAAUACUCCCUAGUGACCGAUAGUGAACCAGUACCGUGAGGGAAAGGUGAAAAGCACCCCGGAAGGGGAGUGAAAGAGAUCCUGAAACCGUGUGCCUACAAGUAGUCAGAGCCCGUUAACGGGUGAUGGCGUGCCUUUUGUAGAAUGAACCGGCGAGUUACGAUCCCGUGCAAGGUUAAGCAGAAGAUGCGGAGCCGCAGCGAAAGCGAGUCUGAAUAGGGCGAAUUGAGUACGUGGUCGUAGACCCGAAACCAGGUGAUCUACCCAUGUCCAGGGUGAAGUUCAGGUAACACUGAAUGGAGGCCCGAACCCACGCACGUUGAAAAGUGCGGGGAUGAGGUGUGGGUAGGGGUGAAAUGCCAAUCGAACCUGGAGAUAGCUGGUUCUCUCCGAAAUAGCUUUAGGGCUAGCCUCAAGGUAAGAGUCUCGGAGGUAGAGCACUGAUUGGACUAGGGGCCCCUACCGGGUUACCGAAUUCAGUCAAACUCCGAAUGCCGAUGACUUAUCCUUGGGAGUCAGACUGCGAGUGAUAAGAUCCGUAGUCGAAAGGGAAACAGCCCAGACCGCCAGCUAAGGUCCCAAAGUAUACGUUAAGUGGAAAAGGAUGUGGAGUUGCUUAGACAACCAGGAUGUUGGCUUAGAAGCAGCCACCAUUUAAAGAGUGCGUAAUAGCUCACUGGUCGAGUGACUCUGCGCCGAAAAUGUACCGGGGCUAAACGUAUCACCGAAGCUGCGGACUGUUCUUCGAACAGUGGUAGGAGAGCGUUCUAAGGGCUGUGAAGCAAGACCGGAAGGACUUGUGGAGCGCUUAGAAGUGAGAAUGCCGGUAUGAGUAGCGAAAGAGGGGUGAGAAUCCCCUCCACCGAAUGCCUAAGGUUUCCUGAGGAAGGCUCGUCCGCUCAGGGUUAGUCGGGACCUAAGCCGAGGCCGAAAGGCGUAGGCGAUGGAUAACAGGUUGAUAUUCCUGUACCACCUCCUCACCAUUUGAGCAAUGGGGGGACGCAGGAGGAUAGGGUAAGCGCGGUAUUGGAUAUCCGCGUCCAAGCAGUUAGGCUGGGAAAUAGGCAAAUCCGUUUCCCGUGAAGGCUGAGCUGUGAUGGCGAGCGAAUUAUAGUAGCGAAGUUCCUGAUUCCACACUGCCAAGAAAAGCCUCUAGCGAGGUGAGAGGUGCCCGUACCGCAAACCGACACAGGUAGGCGAGGAGAGAAUCCUAAGGUGAUCGAGAGAACUCUCGUUAAGGAACUCGGCAAAAUGACCCCGUAACUUCGGGAGAAGGGGUGCUCUGUUAGGGUGCAAGCCCGAGAGAGCCGCAGUGAAUAGGCCCAGGCGACUGUUUAGCAAAAACACAGGUCUCUGCGAAGCCGUAAGGCGAAGUAUAGGGGCUGACGCCUGCCCGGUGCUGGAAGGUUAAGAGGAGCGCUUAGCGUAAGCGAAGGUGCGAAUUGAAGCCCCAGUAAACGGCGGCCGUAACUAUAACGGUCCUAAGGUAGCGAAAUUCCUUGUCGGGUAAGUUCCGACCCGCACGAAAGGCGCAACGAUCUGGGCACUGUCUCAACGAGAGACUCGGUGAAAUUAUAGUACCUGUGAAGAUGCAGGUUACCCGCGACAGGACGGAAAGACCCCGUGGAGCUUUACUGCAGCCUGAUAUUGAAUGUUGGUACAGCUUGUACAGGAUAGGUAGGAGCCUUGGAAACCGGAGCGCCAGCUUCGGUGGAGGCAUCGGUGGGAUACUACCCUGGCUGUAUUGACCUUCUAACCCGCCGCCCUUAUCGGGCGGGGAGACAGUGUCAGGUGGGCAGUUUGACUGGGGCGGUCGCCUCCUAAAAGGUAACGGAGGCGCCCAAAGGUUCCCUCAGAAUGGUUGGAAAUCAUUCGCAGAGUGUAAAGGCACAAGGGAGCUUGACUGCGAGACCUACAAGUCGAGCAGGGACGAAAGUCGGGCUUAGUGAUCCGGUGGUUCCGCAUGGAAGGGCCAUCGCUCAACGGAUAAAAGCUACCCCGGGGAUAACAGGCUUAUCUCCCCCAAGAGUCCACAUCGACGGGGAGGUUUGGCACCUCGAUGUCGGCUCAUCGCAUCCUGGGGCUGUAGUCGGUCCCAAGGGUUGGGCUGUUCGCCCAUUAAAGCGGUACGCGAGCUGGGUUCAGAACGUCGUGAGACAGUUCGGUCCCUAUCCGUCGCGGGCGCAGGAAAUUUGAGAGGAGCUGUCCUUAGUACGAGAGGACCGGGAUGGACGCACCGCUGGUGUACCAGUUGUUCUGCCAAGGGCAUCGCUGGGUAGCUAUGUGCGGACGGGAUAAGUGCUGAAAGCAUCUAAGCAUGAAGCCCCCCUCAAGAUGAGAUUUCCCAUUCCGCAAGGAAGUAAGAUCCCUGAAAGAUGAUCAGGUUGAUAGGUCUGAGGUGGAAGUGUGGCGACAGCAUGGAGCUGACAGAUACUAAUCGAUCGAGGACUUAACCAA